CCUAGUAGUCCACGCCGUAAACGAUGAGAACUAAGUGUUGGAGAGAUUCAGUGCUGCAGUUAACGCAAUAAGUUCUCCGCCUGGGGAGUAUGCACGCAAGUGUGAAACUCAAAGGAAUUGACGGGGGCCCGCACAAGCGGUGGAGUAUGUGGUUUAAUUCGAAGCAACGCGAAGAACCUUACCAGGCCUUGACAUGGAUAUAAAUGUUCUAGAGAUAGAAAGAUAGCUAUAUAUCACACAGGUGGUGCAUGGUUGUCGUCAGCUCGUGUCGUGAGAUGUUGGGUUAAGUCCCGCAACGAGCGCAACCCUUGUCUUCUGUUACCAGCAUUAGGUUGGGGACUCAGGAGAGACUGUCGGUGACAAACCGGAGGAAGGUGGGGAUGACGUCAAAUCAUCAUGCCCCUUAUGGCCUGGGCUACACACGUACUACAAUGGCGCCUACAAAGAGCAGCGACACCGCGAGGUGGAGCGAAUCUCAUAAAGGGCGUCUCAGUUCGGAUUGAAGUCUGCAACUCGACUUCAUGAAGUCGGAAUCGCUAGUAAUCGCAGAUCAGCAUGCUGCGGUGAAUACGUUCUCGGGCCUUGCACACACCGCCCGUC
This 600-nucleotide ribosomal RNA is filed under the name uncultured bacterium. RNAcentral's name for it is "bacterial SSU rRNA". It matches the Rfam family "Bacterial small subunit ribosomal RNA", at positions 786 to 1398 of the family's 1533-position model. The record is from RNAcentral.